UACGGAGGGUGCAAGCGUUAUCCGGAUUCACUGGGUUUAAAGGGAGCGUAGGAGGGCAGGUAAGUCAGUGGUGAAAUCUUCGAGCUUAACUCGGAAACUGCCGUUGAUACUAUCUGUCUUGAAUACCGUGGAGAUGAGCGGAAUAUGUCAUGUAGCGGUGAAAUGCUUAGAUAUGACAUAGAACACCAAUUGCGAAGGCAGCUGGCUACACAAAUAUUGACACUGAGGCACGAAAGCGUGGGGAUCAAACAGG
RNAcentral lists this ribosomal RNA (253 nucleotides) under uncultured bacterium. RNAcentral describes it as "partial 16S ribosomal RNA". It matches the Rfam family "Bacterial small subunit ribosomal RNA", at positions 524 to 776 of the family's 1533-position model. The record is from RNAcentral.